Picea glauca (white spruce) is the source of this 45-nucleotide non-coding RNA. The record is from Rfam. NCBI's taxonomy places the organism in Eukaryota, Viridiplantae, Streptophyta, Pinopsida, Pinales, Pinaceae.
UAUUUGGUUGUUUUAACAACCAUACAUUAUAUCUAAGGAUGAUAU